UCCCCAGGAAAGCUCCAUCCUUUUCCCCUCGCCCAUCUUCUUCCCCUUUGCCUCCCCAAGUCGCCGGCAAUUCUCCAUGCCGCUCAGACGACUCCUCGCCGGCGAAAAUUCCAUAUUUCGUCGUCCUGGCCAUUCCACGAUUUGUCUUCCCGAUGGCCGAUACAUCGAUGUCUACACUGACGACGAUGGGACUCUCGUCACCGGCGGAUCGGAGGGCCGGCCGCCACGGCCUGUCCAAGAAAUCUUCGCCGACAUCCGGCGCCGUCAGGCGGCGGCUGAGGACGCCGCCCGUCGCCUCCACUACCCGCAGCGGCGUCCACAGCCCCGUCCACCAUCAGAUGCGGCCUCCACGAGCCAACCACCUCCAACCCCCUCCCCUCCACUCCACUCCACUCCACCAUCAGAUGCAGCCCACCCCCCUGCAACCCCUUCCCCUCCCCUCCACCGUCAGCUGCAGCCUCCACAAACCGAACCCAUCCCCUAUGCUCCAGGCAAGCCUCGCCCCUUUACACUCACCGAGCUGGAUGCGAUACGUCGACGCGUAGCAGAUGCAUCUAAGGAAUUCGCCCACUCCGACUACGCUGACGGGGAUGGGGAACUCUUCACGGACGUCGACAAGAUAUCUCAACGCGUAGCAGAUGUACGCAUGGAAGUCGCCUGCUCCGACAUCCAGACGAGGCCCUACGAUCGGCCGCAACCUCCACAGUGCGAGUACCCUUCUUAUGAUGUGCCUGAGCAGUUGGAAACGCCACUGCUAGAGCCAAAGAACACCAACACUUCAUCUUACUCCACACAGCCAGAGGCGCUAACUCAUGACAUCUUGCCAGUGUCAAGGCAAUUGUCUCCGCCUAUUUUCGCUCGCAAUCCUUCUGGUUGGCAUAUACAGUUUUUCAUCAGAAUAGAUGUCGAGGGUUCUUUCCACACGUAUCCUAGUCUGGGCGGACCAUUCCAGAGCUUGCAGGAGGCUGAGAAUGCUAUCACUAGCCAUCUUGAUGAGCUGCUCUCUCCAAUGAUGUGCACAGAUGGGCUUUCGGAUGCUGAGAUUGGUAUAUUACACGACCUUUACUGGCCUGAUGGCACAAGGCAGAAUUCUUCUGAAGGCGAUGCGGACCAUAGGAAUAUAAGCUUAUUGGUUCAAGCGUUACUGGACAAAUACAAUGAAGAUCACCAUCUUCUGGGGGAUUUUGCACAUGAACUUGAUGAUGUUGUUAUCUUCCGAGAAUUUGUUGAGGGGGAGAAAGUGGUUAGGUUCUAUCAUAUCAAUCUGGCUACAAAAACCAAAGGAGAAGAUGGUUUGCACAGUGGCGUCAACAAUCUAUUUUUUGCUGAAGUCAGACAAAUUAAAGGAGAAAAUGUAUAUGUACUCAGUUGUUUAUGUAUGGUUAAACCUACUGACAGUGGCCAAUGCUAUGGUUGCUUGAGUUAUGGAAAUAUUGAUUUGAAGCACCCUGUUGAUACUGAUAAAUACAAAGGUGGCCACACUGCCCCGCGCUCACCCUGUUGCGGUUUUGAUCUACGGUGUGAUGUACCUGCAUACAUUGAGGAUGAGGAUGAGGAGGCUAGGCUGGCGAAGGAGGAGGCUAGGUUAAGAUAUAUAUACAAGUGCCCUGCUCCGGCAAAAUUGGAUGGUGCAAGAGUGCGUGCUGGUUUGGCAAAGAGAGAGGAUGCUGGUUUGACCAAGGGAGAGUGUGGCCAGGGAAAAGCGAAAUACAUUGUGCCAGCUAGGCGUCGUCUGCUGGUUUGAGUAACCCAUCAGAACUCCUUGAUAUUGUUGCACUAUUUUCAGAAGUUGAACUAGCCGGUUGAUGUUGCAUGGCAUAACUAUUCUUUAGGUUCGAGCAAAUGAGUCGAGAUGGAUAAAUUCAAGAAGAUAAAAGCCAGUGUGCUCGAGCCACUUUCACUUUCAUCCUAGUUUUGAGAAAUACUGUAGUAUAACAAAUUUAUACAAAGACAAAUGUUAAAAGAAUAUUUCGGCCUUCAAAAGUAACCUUUCAAGGGGAGGCGAAUUGGUUACUCAGUUGGUUACAAACACGUACACUUCACAUCGAAGGGAAGACGAGUGUACAUCGAAGGGAAGACGCCAGGUUCCAGCAGCAUGCCAAAUGAGGCCCGCUACACCAUGUCCUCUUCUCUAAGAAGAACCCGAAGUUUCUGUUCGGCCUCAGUUUUAGUCGUAUGCUCAGUGACGUUGAGCAAGCUAGAUUCAGCUUUCAAAUCUAGUUCAUUAAUCAAUUGAGUGAGUCUCUCCUUUUCUCGCUUGUAAAUCCCGCUUUCUUUUCUGGCUCAACCCCUCCAGCAAUUGUUGCAAGUGUCUAAUCUUAUUAUGCCGUUGUUCAA
Triticum dicoccoides is the source of this 2337-nucleotide RNA transcript. RefSeq lists it as uncharacterized. Lineage: Eukaryota; Viridiplantae; Streptophyta; Magnoliopsida; Poales; Poaceae. The record is from RefSeq and is a predicted model, not a curated record. The transcript is spliced from 8 exons.